GACGAACGCUGGCGGCGUGCCUAAUACAUGCAAGUUGAGCGAUGAAGAUUGGUGCUUGCACCAAUUUGAAGAGCAGCGAACGGGUGAGUAACGCGUGGGGAAUCUGCCUUUGAGCGGGGGACAACAUUUGGAAACGAAUGCUAAUACCGCAUAAUAACUUUAAACAUAAGUUUUAAGUUUGAAAGAUGCAAUUGCAUCACUCAAAGAUGAUCCCGCGUUGUAUUAGCUAGUUGGUGAGGUAAAGGCUCACCAAGGCGAUGAUACAUAGCCGACCUGAGAGGGUAAUCGGCCACAUUGGGACUGAGACACGGCCCAAACUCCUACGGGAGGCAGCAGUAGGGAAUCUUCGGCAAUGGACGAAAGUCUGACCGAGCAACGCCGCGUGAGUGAAGAAGGUUUUCGGAUCGUAAAACUCUGUUGGUAGAGAAGAACGUUGGUGAGAGUGGAAAGCUCAUCAAGUGACGGUAACUACCCAGAAAGGGACGGCUAACUACGUG
This 497-nucleotide ribosomal RNA is filed under the name uncultured bacterium. Its description in RNAcentral is "partial 16S ribosomal RNA". It matches the Rfam family "Bacterial small subunit ribosomal RNA", at positions 28 to 507 of the family's 1533-position model. The record is from RNAcentral.